RNAcentral lists this ribosomal RNA (327 nucleotides) under Triticum aestivum (bread wheat). RNAcentral's name for it is "partial small subunit ribosomal RNA". The record is from RNAcentral. Lineage: Eukaryota; Viridiplantae; Streptophyta; Magnoliopsida; Poales; Poaceae.
AUGGUGAACCUGAUCCCACCCUUCUUCACGCACGGCACCCUGCACCAUGCUGUAGGCGACGGCCACGAUGCCGGCGCGGUAGAUUCCGAUCUGGAGGUAGGCCGGCUCGGCCAUGUCGAAGUGGGCGCGCGGCGGGUUGCACCAGCCGCCGUCGUCGUUGGGCAGCGCGUAGUUGGGCGGGCACAGGUUGGUGGCGGUAAUGGUGAUGCUGCCCGGCAGGCAGGAGCUGCUCACGUCCUGGCAGCCGAGAAGAGCAGGAGCAGAGCAUUGGCGGAGGCCAUUGCAAAGAGCUCGAAGCUAGCAGCUGGUGCCUUUCUAGCUCGGUAA